Cyprinus carpio carpio is the source of this 1513-nucleotide long non-coding RNA. NCBI's taxonomy places the organism in Eukaryota, Metazoa, Chordata, Actinopteri, Cypriniformes, Cyprinidae. The record is from Ensembl.
ACUAAACUGACCAAUCAGGAUAGAUAUUUAAAUGACGCAACGUCGUUUGCUUCUGUUCAAAAUGCGGCCUAAAGAGGCACAAGGUGGGUGAAUGAAUAUUUUCUCGUUCCGCGUAUAUAACCGAUCAUCACAACAUCAGGUGAUGUUUUAAUAUACUGUAAGUGCGUCAUCAGGCCUUCAUGUGUUUAAGUCAAGACAACAGGUGAAGAGAAAUUCUGCCAAAAAUAACGACAUACAAAUGAUUGGCCAUAAUGAAGCAGUGGAGGAUGGAGUUCUUUACGCACAGGUUUGGACCUAGAGGAGCAACUUUUCAUCAAUUAUGAAUCUCGGCUUGAGCUCAGAGCAAUAAAUAAUUAGAGCCAUCUGCUUGGAGUUAGUGUCAUUCUGCAGCGGUAAAUGCUGAUCGCUGGAUCCAGAUGCCUUUGAAAGCGCAUUUCCUUUCAACUGUCACAGCGAGCGGCUCAAAAGGGCUCCAGUGCCGCUGGUACAAAUUCAAAGCGAUGGUUGGAUUCAUCAGCGAUUCCAGAUGUGCCAAAUGUCCUCUUCUGAUCACCAGUAAAUCCACUCCUUCCUCUGCUGAUCAUAAGCCCUCUCAGCAGCUGGUGUCAGAGUGAAAUUGGACGAAUUUCGAGAUUUUCAGUCUUGUUAUUCAUCCCCUUAUCAAUAUGUCAUCUGGAGAUUGGACACAUCAGAAUGACUUGAGGGGGAGAAAUCAUCUACUGCCAUGUUCGCUUCCCAUCAAACUGUGAGACUGGCACAAAUAGAGGUCUGUACAGACUGUUCAGGGCACAAGGAGUCAUUGUUGAGUUCUGCAGAGGUUUUAAUGAAGACUAGUCCCUUUGUGAUUAUUUAUGCCAAUGCAGUUGAGAUCCGCACAAAGAUUCUGAUGCGAUGGAGGAUAAGUAACGAUUUUGUAUAUAAUUGUGAGCACUGAAUGCAUUUAGAUGGAAUUAGUUUUAAUACUGUACAGUAAAAAUCAAUAGCAGCUCUGUUGCUAAAUGGGAAAACUGUGAGCUUGUGGUUUGUGGGAAAAUAUGAGAAAAGUGAACAGAUGCGCUUGAUAAUAUCUAGUUUACUUUCUGUUAAGUACCUUAAAAAUCAUAAUCAUCCUAAUUAUUAAAUCUUAAAUGCCAUAAAUCUCACAAAACUUCACAAACUUUUCCAACUCAAGUGAAUAGUUCUUUAAAAGUAGAGCUGGGUAUUGAUACACAUUUUCUGAUUCGUAGCAUGAUUUUUGAUGAUUUAUGCUUGCUCUCAAUUAAAGUUUGAUUCAGUUUAAUUGGAUUCCAAUUAAUUUUGUGUAUGUUUCAUUUACAGUGUCUAUUUUGCUUACAUAUGGUAAGGUGAUCCCUCUCUGCUAUGACUAUAAAUGAUAUAAAGAACCUUCUAAUUUGGUACAUUAUGAAAUUAACAACAGGGCCCAAACUCUGCAGUUCAUAUUCUGUUUGUUUAAAUAAACACCUAGAAAGUAACGUUCACCUCAGUUAUGAGCUCCCAUGCAACAGUAUAGAAA